Molecule: unclassified non-coding RNA, 337 nt
Filed under: soil metagenome
Description: partial contains 5.8S ribosomal RNA, internal transcribed spacer 2, and large subunit ribosomal RNA
Rfam family: 5.8S ribosomal RNA (bases 1-120)
Source: RNAcentral
GAUGAAGAACGUAGCGAAAUGCGAUAAGUAGUGUGAAUUGCAGAAUUCAGUGAAUCAUCGAAUCUUUGAACGCACAUUGCGCCCCUUGGUAUUCCAUGGGGCAUGCCUGUUCGAGCGUCAUUUGUACCUUCAAGCUCUGCUUGGUGUUGGGUGUUUGUCUCGCCUCUGCGUGUAGACUCGCCUCAAAACAAUUGGUAGCCGGCGUAUUGAUUUCGGAGCGCAGUACAUCUCGCGCUUUGCACUCAUAACGACGACGUCCAAAAGUACAUUUUUACACUCUUGACCUCGGAUCAGGUAGGGAUACCCGCUGAACUUAAGCAUAUCAAUAAGCGGAGGA